Molecule: long non-coding RNA, 1366 nt
Organism: Oreochromis aureus
Lineage: Eukaryota; Metazoa; Chordata; Actinopteri; Cichliformes; Cichlidae
Exons: 3
Source: RefSeq, a predicted model, not a curated record
AGGCAAGGGAACUGAAAAGUGUGCUGAGGAUAAAUGAUCAAUUAGGCAGAUGUAAAUGAACAACAGCUACAGGCUGGAGGCUCUGACAUCACACCUGAUGGAGAACCUGGAGAGCUGGUCCUUGCUGAUCUUCGGCCCCAGGGCAUUUCAGUCAGUGAAGACAUCUUCACCACCUGCUCUUCCAGACGACGGACUCGUGCCUGAACACCUGCAGGUUAACCAACCAACCACUGAUCAGUAAAGCAAAAAAAGGAAACAAUGAGGAUCAUGUUUGCUGGUUUGCUGCUUGUGCUGCUCUUUGUCACUGGACUCUCAAAACUAGCCAAUCUUCAACCCCAACAGCAGCAGAAUGAAACCCCUUAUGAAAAGUUCAGACGGCAACAUGUAGAUGCUAAGAUGAGUGUGGAAAAAUGUGAUACAGAAAUAAAAAACAGGCAGAUCUAUGAUGUUAACAGCCGUUGUAAGUUUACUAACACAUUCAUCCUUAGUGAUGAUAAACAGGUCAAAGCCAUUUGUAAUGGUCAAGGAAGAUAUGAUCGUAAGAGUCGCAUGACAAAGAGUGUAUCUAAGUUUAGUAUUGUUAUAUGUAAACUAAAGAAGAAAAGAACCGGGGAACCCAAAUGUCAGUAUGAAGGCAAACGUCUCACUAACAGGAUUAUUCUAGUCAAAUGUAAAGGAAAGUUACCCGUGCACUAGGGUCGUGACAUAAUGACCUUUGCAUCCAAUAACACAACUAUAGGAAAAAUCCCCAUGCGCUCUAAUUCUGUACCCACAAAUAUGCAUUUCUGAGAUAACAAAAGAGCAACAUUUAUCAUCAGCUCUGACAAAAGGUCACUGGAAACAUCUUGUUUGUUAUAAGUUUUUAUUUGUGCCUGUCUUAUAAGCGCAUACAUGUUUUGCAUGUGAUCAAAUUCAAUUUCUAAACAUAUUGUAUAAAAAACAAUUAACCCCAUUUUCACUAGGGAUGACAAAAAGCAUGUAGAAAAAAUCCUGUAUUAAAUGUUACUGAUAAAAAAUAAAACAAAAACACGAACGAGUAAAAAAAACAGCUUAAUUUUGUUAUUUGUUUAUCUCAUGACUGCUGAUAUAUUAAUAGCAGUGAUUGUAGGAUACAGAUGUAUGUACUACAGUUAUGUGUUAAAGUAAUUUGAAAGGUGAUUUUUGGUAACUCUGGGAUCCAGCUUGCUUCUAAUAAACGAUUUAUUGUCUGAUCACAGACUAAGUGUGUAAAAAAUGUUCUUUGAACACUUCAAGCAUCAGCACUCACAAGCUGACAUGUCUUUGCUCAGUGCCCUGCAUUUUAUUUAUAUUUUAUAUGAUUUUUAUGUUGUAUUUACCAAUUGCAGUUUCAAUGGCACUACAAACA